Molecule: long non-coding RNA, 989 nt
Organism: Girardinichthys multiradiatus
Lineage: Eukaryota; Metazoa; Chordata; Actinopteri; Cyprinodontiformes; Goodeidae
Exons: 6
Source: RefSeq, a predicted model, not a curated record
CAAAGAACCGUUUAGGAAGUUUAUUAACAGACUGGAGUGGCAAACGACAGCCGCUGCUCGGGCCUGGAAACUGCAACAGAGAGGGAUGGGAGAGAGAGGUGAGUCCAGACUUGCGGAUAGCUGUGUUCUAGGCCACCAGGGUUUCGAAGGCUGGAGACUGGAAGACCGUUGGAGGGCAGACAGGUUUGGCUCGGCGGGGCUCAGACGGAUUGCCAGCUGACUGCUGGCUCCAGCCCCCACCACCACCACCAACACCACCGCCAGCCUCCCCUCCUCCAUCUCGCUCCUCUUUCUCUCCCGAAGAAGAAAAAAGCUGGAGAAAAAGAGCUCUUUGAGGGACAAAGCUGACAGAACCGCACACAGACAAAUACAGCGAGCACCAACUAAACAGUAAAUGUGGAAAAAGGACGUGCAAGCUAUGCACCACCAUAUCCUCACUCCAUCUCUCUUUCUCAUUAUCUCAAUUUUUUACAUCUUUCUUCAUACCUGAUUUGAGUCGGGGACGAGAUUGUAUUCCUGGAUCGCUUUAAUUACCCACUUAAAAAGUAAUACCAUGAGGAACACUGUUACACCGGACCCUGUUCUGAUGAAGACCCAAACCGGGCUUCCUUUCUUGACCUAAAGGCCAAGCUCUGAUGCUGGAAUUGUUCCUGCCCGUUGUCUGGUCUCAGAGUGAUCCUCGUUCAAAGACCAAAAUCCAAGCCUACUGCAAUUUCUCUGAAUUAAACCCAAGCUGGCGGCUACCUGGCUCACACACAUCCACAGAUCUCUCCACCCUGAGCUCCUCGCCAUCACGUCGAGUACUGAGCCAAACUAAGACCUCCUGGAACUCACUGCCAAGGAUCAAGUGGUUCAACUUACCGGGAUCAAGCUCACUCCUCCAGUCGACCUCUGUCGGCACUCUCCAUCCCUCUUCUCCCCCUGGCGAUUCACUUCAAACUCCUAUUGGCAAUUUCCCGGUUCCAGAAAAAACCUUAUUUUCAAUAAAC